AACAUUCUGUCUUGGGAAUAAAGCAGAGUUCAAGUUAUGGGAAGAAGAAUUCUGUGAAGAAGUGUAAUAGUAAGAGAAGCCACUUUCUCUUCUACUCCUUGACUAUGGACUUGUGUACUGUGGCUUUGGGAGAAAUAGUGCCAUACAUUGGUCAAUGGCUCAAAGCAUAUAUUGUUCUUUGCAGACAGGCCCAACCUUACAAAAUGUUUCUCAGCUCAGGUUGUAACUGAGUCUGUAGUAGGCCAUUCCAUUGUUAUAUUGGGCCAGAUAUUUCUAGAUGGUGGGGUGUGCAGUAAGACUAUUUCUUUCUAUGAUUUGCAAACUCUAAUUACACUUCUAAGAUGUGUUCCUUAGAAGCUGUGUUGAGUAGGAUACCAUGAUAUUGAGUAAGGAAUUAUGUGGUAGUGUUGGCAGAAACACAAUGGGCAGGAAAGGCAAAUCCAUACACAGAAUAGAUGUCUAUUCUAGCACAAACAAAUGGCUUUCAUUUCCAUGAUGGAAGGGGUGCUUUAUAAUCAAUGUACCAACACGCAGUUGGCUGAUCGCCUUGGGAAAUGGUGCCAUAUUGGAGACUCACAGUUUAGAUUCUGUUCUUGAUAAUUUGGGCACUCAGUGCCAACAGAUUAGCUUGGUGAGGGGAAGUCCACUUUGUUGGGUCUGUGCUUCAUUUCUGCCACUGUGACCAUUUUGUACAUAAGCCCAUUAAAACAGAAGAUGAGGAAAGAUGCUGACUGAUAGUCCCAGAACAAGUCACUUUGUUCACCCCUAUUGUUGAAGCCUCCUCUACAGUGGAUGUACCUUGGUAAGCACUCACACAAUUUCCUUCACAUUUAGCACUCAUUCUGAAAGAUCUGUGCAUGUGUCUCUUCUUCAGCCUUCCUAGUUAUCAAUCUUCCAGGCUUGUUCUUUUCAAUUUCCUGACCAGGUGACCAAAGCAUUAUUCACUGUCCACAGAUGAGUGUACCACAGGCCAUCCCUCCUUCCUGGCUGAGGGGACUUCAAGGUGUACUGCCAAAACUUCUGCCCUCUGGGAGGGUUUUCCUUCACCAUUCCUCUUCAGCGGCAUCUCUGAGUAAAGUCAACAGGAUCUGCCUUGUACCACCAGGGCUGUAGCUGAGCCACUGACUGGCCUAGGGUCUUCACCCCAAAAUUGUCUUGGAAGACCUGGUCUACAUCCAUGCAGAAGAGGAAGUCAACCUCGUGUUGGAUGUGGGCCAAGAUGUGCUCCCUGAUGAUCUUCACAGGCAUCAUGCUGAUGUGUUGCCACCUCUUCUCUGGCUUGACCUGAAACACUUUUAAGGAAUGCAGAGGACCCAGCUCUAUAAACAGCACCUUGGAGACAUCAUCCACUAUAAUGUAAAAUAUGACUUUGUGGCCGACCAUUAGCAGGUGUUAUGAACUCUUAUGAACUCUUCCAAGUAAUGCUCAAUAUAUCUGAAACAAAGAAGAAAAGCAAAAUAUUUAACCUUUGGGAUUCCUGAAAGAAAUCACAUGUUGUUAUAAUCAUGUCUGUAUUUUAUAGUUAGUAGAAGAAUGAUUUCUUCCCACCCCGGGUAUGUUUUCAUGUUAGUGUAAUGCCCCUGGCUACUCUCCACCAUUCAGUCACUCAGUGCGUGGGAAGCUGGAAUGACUUACCUGACUGCCAAUUUUGGAAGAGCAGCUAGAACUAGACAUGCACUACCCUAUCCUUCCUCUCUUCUGGCUUUUGGGAACCAGCCAGUCCAAGAGAGCAUGUGUUCUCAACUGCUCUGGGUUUUGCAGGAAGCUUAGUACAGGAUCUAUUUUCACAUCCAGAGGCCUGUAGGUGCCUGGAUGCCCAAGUCUUUCUAACUCUGGGGGUUGAAUAUUUAGGAGGCACAGGGCCUGCAGAUAUAAGCCACAUUCUCCAAUAUGAGCUUUAACUAUAAUGAGGGUGAUAUUUACCGCUCUCUGCCUUCCUUACCCCUUUGUCCAAUUUACCAAUUGGUUCAGACUUUGGACAGUCAAAGGGGGUACUUGUUCUUGAGCUCAGUUCAAAAGCCUUAACAUAAACCCCAAUGUUGCUACUGCCAGACCAGGUACAAGGGUGAUGUGACCCUUGGAUCCAAUGGGGAUGCAUUAAGCCCAAACAGCGGAACUCCCUUGUCCUGUGUGAUACAGAGAAUGAGUUAUGAGAUCUAGAUCUGCUUUCAUGUUACAUAGUCAUCCUAUGAGCCUCCCACUAGUCACCUAAAACACCAAUCCAUUGUCCACACACCAUCAUCCAAAAUACUAGUCCAUCCAAAUACUAGAAUGAGCAACUUCUGAUUUAACCUUAUUUUAACUACUUUUUCUUUAUCUUAAAAAAAGGACUAUGUUAGCAAUAAGCCACGUUUGGUGGCUGAUUAAACAUAGAUGAAAAGAGAAGAUAAAAAACUUUAAAAAGUAAAAAAAAGAAAAAAAAGGACUACGUUGUUUAGAGAAGUUUUAGGUUCACAAAAAAAUUGGGCCAAAAGUACGGAAUUCCCAUAUACCUCCUGCUCCCACAUUUGCACAGCCCCCAUUCCCCCACUAUCAACAUCCUUGCACCAGAGUGGUGCAUUUGUUACGAUCAAUGAAGCUACACAGACAUAUCACUAUCACCCAACAUCCAUAGUUUACAUUAGGGUUCACUCUUGGUGUGGUACAUUCUAAGGGUUUAACAAAAGUAUAAUGACAUGUAUCCACCAUUAUAGUAUCAUACAAAAUAUCAUCACUGCCCUAAAAAUUAUCUGAGCUUUGCUUAUUAAUCCUUCCCUCCCCGAACAACCCCAAACAAUCACUGACCUUUUUACUGUCUCCAUAGUUUUACCUUUUCCAGAACGUCAUAUAAGCAUAUAGCAUGUAGCCUUUUCAGCGUGGCUUCUUUUACUUAGUAAGAUGCAUUUAAGGUUCUUUUAUAUCUUUCAUGACUUGAUAGCUCAUUUCUUUUUAGCACAGAAUAAUAUUCCAUUAUCUGGAUGUGGCUUAGUUCAUUUUUCUAUUCACCUACCAAAGGGCAUCUUGGUUGCUUUCAAGUUUUGGUAAUUAUGAAAUAAAGCCUCCGUAAAUAUCCAUGUGCAGGUUUUUGUGUAGACAUAAGUUUUUAACUCACUUGGGUGAAUAGCAAGGAGCACGAUUGCUGGAUCGUAUGGUAAGAGUAUAUUUAGUUUUGUAAGAAACUGCCAAAUUGCCUUCCAAAGUGGCUGUACCAUUUUGCAUUCCUACCAGCAAUGAAUAAGUGUUCCUGUUGCUCUACAUCCUUGUCAGCAUUUGGUGUUGUCAGUGUUUUGAAUUUUGGCCAUUUUAGUAGGUAUUUAGUGGUAUUUUAACUAUCUAUUCCUUUGAAAAACAUUGCAUGCUGUCCCCCAUUGCUGGGCAAGGUGGCUCACGCCUGUAAUCCCAGCACUUUGGGAGGCCAAGGCAGGUGGAUCACAAGGUCAGGAGUUUGAGACCAGCCUGGCCAAUAUGGUGAAACCUGGUCUCUACUAAAAAUACCAAAAUUAUCUGGGCGUGGUGGCACAUGCCUGUAGUCCCAGCUGCUUGGGAGGCUAAGGCAGGAGAAUUGCUGGAACCAGGGAGGCAGAGGUUGUGGGGUGAGCUGAGAUGGUGCCACUGCACUCCAGCCUGGGCAACAGAGCAAGACUCCAUCUAAAAAAAAAAAAAAAAAAAAAAAGGCCAGGCACGGUGGCUCAAGCCUGUAAUCCCAGCACUUUGGGAGGCCAGACAGGCGGAUCAUGAGGUCAGGAGAUCAAGACCAUCCUGGCUAACACGGUGAAACCCCGUCUCUACCAAAAAAAAUACAAAAAACUAGCCAGGCGAGGUGGCGGACUCCUGUAGUCCCAGCUACUCAGGAGGCUGAGGCAGGAGAAUGGCGUGAACCCGGGAGGCGGAGCUUGCAGUGAGCUGAGAUCUGGCCACUGCACUCCAACCUGGGCGACAGAGCGAGACUCCGUCUCAAAAAAAAAGAAAAAGAAAAUAAAAUGAAAACAUUUUAUUGGAGUCUUCUGUAAGCCCAAGCUAUGGACUAUUUGUGAAGCUACGCUAUGGAGAUUACCAGGAAGAGGAAGAAUAAGCCAGAUGGUUUCAUACAACUUGACCAAACCCUAAACUCAUGUGGACUGAAUUUAAUGUGCUGAUCACACUUCUGGCCAAUCAUGGUGUUUUGUGAGUAAUAAUGACUGGCACUUCUUUUCGCUUUUUGUUGCUGCUUGGAUUCCCUUUCUUUGUUACCAAAAUAAAAUGCGCUUUUAAUGUUGGCAUGUGGUAAUCCAAGGGUUUAUAGUACUGAUUCUUUAAAUGGAAAAUACAUCUGAGGAAUAUAAAAAAGGACUUCAGUGUGGCUCUGUGGGUAGUGGCCAGGAAAUCCUUCAGUAUUCUGGGACUUCAAGAAAAAUGUAUUGUGCUCUGAAGCUUGGGAAACAAUACUGGGGUAGGGUGGGGUAGAGUUAAGUACAGGGGAGAGUCAUUGUGAGGUUUUACAUUGUUAAGAGAUUAAAGCAUUGCAGUUGGCUCCAUGCAUUGUUGCUUGAAAACAAACCAAACAUUACACCUCCUAAAAGUCAAAAUCCACUUGUAGAGAUCUAUUGCUGCUGAGUACAAGCAGUCCUCUCUUGUCUCAGAGCUGAGGGCAGAGUGCUUUCACCAGGAUGUGUGAUUUACAGUUUAG
Molecule: long non-coding RNA, 4645 nt
Organism: Papio anubis (olive baboon)
Lineage: Eukaryota; Metazoa; Chordata; Mammalia; Primates; Cercopithecidae
Source: Ensembl